UCGGGCUCAUAACCCGAAGGUCAUCGGUUCAAAUCCGGUCCCCGCUACCA
RNAcentral lists this transfer RNA (50 nucleotides) under Halomonas sp. RNAcentral describes it as "tRNA-Leu". It matches the Rfam family "tRNA", at positions 26 to 71 of the family's 71-position model. From Rfam's summary of the family: Transfer RNA (tRNA) molecules are approximately 80 nucleotides in length. Lineage: Bacteria; Pseudomonadati; Pseudomonadota; Gammaproteobacteria; Oceanospirillales; Halomonadaceae. The record is from RNAcentral.